UAAUCGCGCAUCAGCCACGGCGCGGUGAAUACGUUCCCGGGCCUUGUACACACCGCCCGUCAAGCCAUGGAAGCCGGGAGUGCCUGAAGUGCGUGACCGCAAGGAGCGUCCUAAGGCAAUACCGGUGACUGGGGCUAAGUCGUAACAAGGUACC
This 154-nucleotide ribosomal RNA is filed under the name uncultured bacterium. RNAcentral's name for it is "partial 16S ribosomal RNA". It matches the Rfam family "Bacterial small subunit ribosomal RNA", at positions 1339 to 1500 of the family's 1533-position model. The record is from RNAcentral.